GGCCCAGUAGCUCAGUUGGAUAGAGCGGCAGCCUCCGGAGCUGUAGGUCGCAGGUUCGAAUCCUGCCUGGGUCACCA
This 77-nucleotide transfer RNA is filed under the name bacterium. RNAcentral's name for it is "tRNA-Arg". It matches the Rfam family "tRNA". Rfam says of the family: Transfer RNA (tRNA) molecules are approximately 80 nucleotides in length. Their secondary structure includes four short double-helical elements and three loops (D, anti-codon, and T loops). Further hydrogen bonds mediate the characteristic L-shaped molecular structure. tRNAs have two regions of fundamental functional importance: the anti-codon, which is responsible for specific mRNA codon recognition, and the 3' end, to which the tRNAs corresponding amino acid is attached (by aminoacyl-tRNA synthetases). tRNAs cope with the degeneracy of the genetic code in two manners: having more than one tRNA (with a specific anti-codon) for a particular amino acid; and 'wobble' base-pairing, i.e. permitting non-standard base-pairing at the 3rd anti-codon position. The record is from RNAcentral. RNAcentral also lists the same sequence under 2 other names.